GUAGGUUCCGAGCGUUAUCCGGAUUUACUGGGCGUAAAGCGCGUUCAGGCGGUUUGGCAAGUCGGGCAUGAAAUCUCUCGGCUCAACCGGGAGAGGUUGUCCGAUACUGCUGGACUUGAGGGCAGUAGAGGGUGGUGGAAUUCCGGGUGUAGUGGUGAAAUGCGUAGAUAUCCGGAGGAACACCAGUGGCGAAAGCGGCCACCUGGACUGCACCUGACGCUGACACGCGAAAGCUAGGGGAGCGAACGGGAUUAGAAACCCCGGUAGUCCUAGCUAUAAACGAUGUUGACUAGGUGUCGACGGUCUAAACCCCGCCGGUGCCGGAGCAAACGCAUUAAGUCAACCGCCUGGGGACUACGGCCGCAAGGUUA
Molecule: ribosomal RNA, 371 nt
Filed under: uncultured bacterium
Lineage: Bacteria
Description: bacterial SSU rRNA
Rfam family: Bacterial small subunit ribosomal RNA
Source: RNAcentral